This 1849-nucleotide long non-coding RNA is filed under the name Mus musculus (house mouse). RNAcentral's name for it is "long non-coding RNA chr11:29218925-29220774". Lineage: Eukaryota; Metazoa; Chordata; Mammalia; Rodentia; Muridae. The record is from RNAcentral.
ACGUUGUUUUAAUCAGUUGCCUUUUUUUAAAAGACAUUUUUUAUGUAAAGCAAAUUGAACUGUCAUCAGAAAUGAAGUUACAUUGUUGGGACCAUUUCUUUAAAGAUUUCACAGAAGUUAGCCUUUGGCAUUUGACAGGACAUACACCCUAGGUAACAAACAGCACAUACCAAUUUCUCUACACCAAGAACUUCUAAUACAUUGAAAAAAAGAAAAAAGAAAGCUGGGUUCCAAAUGGAUAGUAUUCUUAAAGAACUAAAGUCAGCAUUUUUAGAGGUAACAGCAGCCAAGAAAUGCAGCAGCAAUGUUCUGAAAUGCUCCUCUUCCACCAACCUGGGAGUGGCUAGAACAGGGGGUUUCCACUAUGGUCACUUUCUGCUUUCUCAGUAAAGUUAGGUCUGGGUGUUCUAAGAGCUGCUGGUAAAUAUAUAAAGACCAACAAAGAAUGGUGCUGAGUUAAGUGGCACUUAAUAUCUGCAGGUCAUUCUAGCCUAGAGGCUACUUAAAUAUCACAGUCAUAUGCAGCCUAGGAAGCUCUUCCACAGACAAGAGGGUGAUGUGAAAGCUGCUUUUUUAAGAGAUUUAAAAAGCACAUUCCAUGUAUGUAAAUGAACUUAAAAUAAUUGAAGCAAGCUGUUAAGAGCUUUUAUUUUUUAGAACAAGUUAACUGUAAAUAUUUUAAUGUUAGUUUGCUCAUCUAUGAUCUAAGAUCAUUGCUGAGAUGAGAAAAAUGACCCCAAACUACAAUUUAAUGCAUUGAGAAAAAAAAAGAUCUAAAAAUAGUAAUUCUAGCUCCAGUCUUUUAGAUCAGCUCUAUAAUAUGUUAUGGGUCCAUUUUUCCUGGAAUAGCUUAAAAGCAGUUUCCUGUGUUGGAAAUUUUGGAGUUAAUUUUAAUUUUGGCUAUUGUUUGGAAAAGAUGGGCUGUCCGUGUAGAUACGAAGUAUAGUUUUUCCAUAAAACAGAUGUUUAUUUUGUAUUAAAAAUACCACUGUACUUGUUUUACACCAUUUGUAUACAUGUGGUGAUAUUACUGCUAAACUGUAAAAUUCAGGAAUUAAAAUGUGACCCUAUAAUUCCAUGAUUGAGGCUUCUGUUUGUUUUAUUGUAAAAUAAGUGAAUAAGUGAACUAUUUUUGAGAUAUGUCCAGUUUACAUUGUCUUUUAAAGGCUGAUAAAAUCCAUAAAGAUAUGUUAUAAGCCACUAGGUCAGAAAGUCUUAAAUGCAAGACUCAACCAUUCUUUAAAUAUCACUUACAAGAGGUAAACCUUGAGCAAACCUAACAGCAUAAAGCCAUUCUCACCUCUAAACAAAGGUGCACAUACAUCAUGCAUUCAUCUUGUAUCACAAGUGAACUGGGAUUCUUUCAGCCAAUAUCAGUAAGUUACUGUAUGAGUAGGCAUUCUUUCAAACAAGUUUUAUGAAGCCUCUACCAUCUUAGUGCUUAGAAUCUAAGCAGCCCUGAUCUAUAAACUGUUCUGUUAACUCUUUUGUUAUGUUAACUAAAGUACUGUACCAUAUAAAGACUUCCUUUAAUUUUCCUUUCUGAGGAACUUCAAACUUUUAAGACAUUAUUAUGGGAAGUGUUUCUUACAAUGGAAAUAUGAAUGUUUUCUUAAAGUCCAAGGGCAACAGUUGUGUAAUGCAUAUGCUCACCCACAUGAUGAAAGGAUCCUUGGAAGGCACAACUAGGAAGAUUCCACAGUAGCUGCUGUCCUGAAUGACGACCCUCAUGCAGGCUGGGGUGCUUACAGCAUUAUCUCCACUCAGCUAGUUCAAGUCAGAGCACACAUUUGUAUGCCUUAGGUCCUAAAAAUAUCUGUAAACAUGUACCUAAUAAAAAACUAUUUUU